ACAAUAUUAUUACCGGGGUUAAAUAAUGCCAGAACAAUUCACGGAAAGGGAAACAUUCAAUUAAUCCAGUCUGGGCAUUGAACCUGGUUUCCUAAAAGCAGAGCUAAAAGAAGAAUGUGCUCCACAUGGAAGUCAAAUUUGAAGCCAACAAACUUGUACUAUAUUACCAGUAAAUGGAAAACAUAGUGAGGAACACAGUGACUUAUACUGGAAGAAGCCAGCCUUUGUGCUGUGAGAACACUCAAUAGUCAUGUUGGAAGACUCACUGCUGAGUAGUCAAUUCUUGUCAACAGCCAACCCCACCUCCUUCUUAUCAGCCUCAUAGAGUCCGAGGGUACUUUGAAGAGCCCCAAAGAACCCCAUAUCAAAGUGAGUCUUCGUUUUCUGAUACAACUCCGUGAAGACAUCCCAGCACAGAACAGCGUGCAUAUUCCGUCUUUCUUCCAAGGUGGCCAGAGGACGAGAGUUGGAUUUCCUUAACUGCUGUUUCCCCUGGAGCCGAGCCAUGUUCUUGGCGUGUACAAGAAGUAUAUACAAGCAUAUAGUUGAAUGAAUAUGCUGCAAAUAAACAUGUUUCCACUCUU
Long non-coding RNA from Mesocricetus auratus (golden hamster), 584 nucleotides. RefSeq lists it as uncharacterized. Lineage: Eukaryota; Metazoa; Chordata; Mammalia; Rodentia; Cricetidae. The record is from RefSeq and is a predicted model, not a curated record. The transcript is spliced from 4 exons.